This 85-nucleotide transfer RNA is filed under the name Gemmatimonas sp. SM23_52. Its description in RNAcentral is "tRNA-Ser". It matches the Rfam family "tRNA". Rfam says of the family: Transfer RNA (tRNA) molecules are approximately 80 nucleotides in length. Their secondary structure includes four short double-helical elements and three loops (D, anti-codon, and T loops). The record is from RNAcentral. Lineage: Bacteria; Pseudomonadati; Gemmatimonadota; Gemmatimonadia; Gemmatimonadales; Gemmatimonadaceae.
GGAGGGGUGGCAGAACGGCAAUGCACCGCACUCGAAAUGCGGCGCCCUCACGGGCUUGUGGGUUCGAAUCCCACCCCCUCCGCCU